AUCUUCCGAUCUUUAUCGAGGUUCCACUGUAUUUCUAUUAAAAAGAUUUGUUUGCAUUUCCACGAACUGCCCUUUUGCAUUUCCAGAAAUCAAACUUAGAAACCUGUUUUAUCAGUUUUAGGCUAAAUAAAGCAGAGUACUGCUACAACUACUAUUCACUGUGUUACAACAGUUCGUAAAUGUUCAUCAAGGCGAAUUAAUUUUUGAAGAUGCAGUGACGAAAAAAUGCUGCUAAAAGCCGUGAGUCUGAUGAAUACCAGCGACGGUUCACUACAACAGUUUUUUCAGAAAAAUAUAAUAAAUCUGUAAGUAUUCGAACCUUGUCGCAAACUAUUCCAUUUUUUUUUUUUUUUUUUUUGGUUUGUUUUUUAUCCGUUUGUAGAAUUUAAAUUGAUAGAUGCAGAUGACGCUCCUGAAACCUCCGAACAGUCGACCGAUAGAAGUUAUGACAAGCCACCAAUACCCGGCAAAAACUUGCAAUCAACCGAAGGAAGUAAUAAGUCACCUGAUAACAACUUACGGUCAACUGAAAGAAGCCGCGAUAAAUCGCCAACCUCGGGGAAGGACUCACAAUUCCAAUAGGUGACGCCGAGAAAAAUGGACUACAAACACAGUCCGAGCUCAGUUGCAGAAAGCGGGUCUAUACAAUUGUACAUCGCAGUCGGGUCAGGUAGUGGCAGACUACAAACGGUACCUGCAUCAAAGUUGUGGUCAUCGUCUGAACCUCAAAACCCAGCAGCUGUUUAACUGCUUCAUUUCCUCGGUGGAAACGUCGAAGUUCUAAAUUAUCAGCAUAUUUUUCAGGAACAAAAUCUGGUUGCCAGACUGUGUGUAUGGAUAUAGGGAUUUGUAGAGUUCCUUUAUGGAAGACAGAUCAUAUAUGAAGGACUCUACAAAUUUCUAAAACAAUUCAUAUCUGCAUAUAUGAAGCGCGUAUCCAUCACGAAACGGGAUAUUAACGUUUCAAAGAGACGGAAAUAUUUGGACCUAUCGCUAGAGAAACCAUCCGGCACUUUCUCCUGGAUGGAGAAAAUUCAACCCCUUAUUUUGGUCUCCGCGAUGGACUAGUCUGAGUAAGACUCGAAUACGGAGAAAUGCUUUGUUGCCCUAUAUUAUCGGGAUAAUACUUCGUUUCGGCCAUUAUCAGGUCGCAUCGAACUUCACAGUCUCGGAGUACCUUGCAGGUCAGAAUUCUGAGAUUUUUUACGUCAGUGACGUGAAAUCCCAGGAGACCGGAUCUGCAACCUUCGAGAUGAGAUCCGAGGAGGAACGCCGAAUCGUGAAGUAUUACCAUGAUAAUGUCAGAGUGACAAAGACGCAUUCCGAAGCAUUUCUCCUUAGUUCGAGUGGAACUCCGAUACAAUAUAUCAACCGGACACUCGAAAAAAUCAUCAUUCCCCAUAUGCCUGUAAACUCCACCACGUACAGACAUAUAGUUGCAACUAAAAUUCAGGGGGAAGUGGCAGAUCCCGAGAAAAGGAAGCGUCUUCACCAGGAAAUAAAUCAAACUGAAACUUAUAUUGGCAAUUGAGAACUGUUUCACCUGUUGGUUUAAAUUUGAAAUUUCCAUGAGACAAG
RNAcentral lists this long non-coding RNA (1578 nucleotides) under Androctonus crassicauda. The record is from RNAcentral. Lineage: Eukaryota; Metazoa; Arthropoda; Arachnida; Scorpiones; Buthidae.